UACAGAGGGUGCAAGCGUUAAUCGGAAUCACUGGGCUUAAAGCGUUCGUAGGCGGGCUUGCAGGCGCGUUGUGAAAGCCCCCGGCUCAACUGGGGAGGGUCACGCGAUACUGAUCGACUCGAAGGCAGGAGAGGGUAGUGGAAUUCCCGGUGUAGUGGUGAAAUGCGUAGAUAUCGGGAGGAACACCAGUGGCGAAGGCGACUACCUGGCCUGUUCUUGACGCUGAGGCGCGAAAGCUAGGGGAGCAAACGGG
Molecule: ribosomal RNA, 253 nt
Filed under: uncultured bacterium
Lineage: Bacteria
Description: partial 16S ribosomal RNA
Rfam family: Bacterial small subunit ribosomal RNA
Source: RNAcentral